RNAcentral lists this ribosomal RNA (317 nucleotides) under uncultured soil bacterium. Its description in RNAcentral is "bacterial SSU rRNA". It matches the Rfam family "Bacterial small subunit ribosomal RNA", at positions 1082 to 1397 of the family's 1533-position model. The record is from RNAcentral.
AAGUCCCGUAACGAGCGCAACCCCUAUGUUUAGUUGCCAGCACGUUAAGGUGGGGACUCUAAACAGACUGCCUGUGCAAACAGAGAGGAAGGAGGGGACGACGUCAAGUCAUCAUGGCCCUUACGUCCGGGGCUACACACGUGCUACAAUGGAUGGUACAGAGGGCAGCUAGCCGGUAACGGUAUGCCGAUCUCACAAAGCCAUUCACAGUUCGGAUAGAGGUCUGCAACUCGACCUCUUGAAGUUGGAUUCGCUAGUAAUCGCGUAUCAGCAAUGACGCGGUGAAUACGUUCCCGGGCCUUGUACACACCGCCCGU